UGACUCAGUUGGUAGAGCAUGGCGCUUGCAACGCCAGGGUUGUGGGUUCGAUUGCCAC
This 58-nucleotide transfer RNA is filed under the name Oncorhynchus kisutch (coho salmon). It matches the Rfam family "tRNA", at positions 8 to 63 of the family's 71-position model. From Rfam's summary of the family: Transfer RNA (tRNA) molecules are approximately 80 nucleotides in length. Their secondary structure includes four short double-helical elements and three loops (D, anti-codon, and T loops). RNAcentral also lists the same sequence under 3 other names. Lineage: Eukaryota; Metazoa; Chordata; Actinopteri; Salmoniformes; Salmonidae. The record is from Rfam by way of RNAcentral.